CAUGCAUGUCUAAGUGUAAGCAAUUAUACAGCGAAACUGCGAAUGGCUCAUUAUAUAAGUUAUCGUUUAUUUGAUAGUACCUUACUACAUGGAUAACCGUGGUAAUUCUAGAGCUAAUACAUGCUGAAAAUCCCGACCUCCGGAAGGGACGCAUUUGUUAGAUUAAAAACCAAUGCCCUCUGGGCUCCCUGGUGAUUCAUGACAACUUCGCGAAUCGCAUGGCCUUGCGCCGGCGAUGGUUCAUUCAAAUUUCUUCCCUAUCAACUUUCGAUGUUUGGGUAGUGGCCAAACAUGGUUGCAACGGGUAACGGAGGGUUAGGGCUCGACCCCGGAGAAGGAGCCUGAGAAACGGCUACUACAUCCAAGGAAGGCAGCAGGCGCGCAAAUUACCCAAUCCCGACACGGGGAGGUAGUGACAAUAAAUACUGAUACAGGGCCUUUAUGGGUCUUGUAAUUGGAAUGAGUACAAUUUAAAUCCCUUAGCGAGGAACAAUUGGAGGGCAAGUCUGGUGCCAGCAGCCGCGGUAAUUCCAGCUCCAAUAGCGUAUAUUAAAGUUGUUGUGGUUAAAAAGCUCGUAGUUGAACCUUGGGCCUGGCUGGCCGGUCCGCCUCACCGCGUGUACUGGUCCGGCCGGGCCUUUCCCUCUGUGGAACCCCAUGCCCUUCACUGGGCGUGGCGGGGAAACAGGACUUUUACUUUGAAAAAAUUAGAGUGCUCCAGGCAGGCGUAUGCUCGAAUACAUUAGCAUGGAAUAAUAGAAUAGGCCGCGCGGUUCUAUUUUGUUGGUUUCUAGGACCGCCGUAAUGAUUAAUAGGGACAGUCGGGGGCAUCAGUAUUCAAUUGUCAGAGGUGAAAUUCUUGGAUUUAUUGAAGACUAACUACUGCGAAAGCAUUUGCCAAGGAUGUUUUCAUUAAUCAGGAACGAAAGUUAGGGGAUCGAAGACGAUCAGAUACCGUCGUAGUCUUAACCAUAAACUAUGCCGACUAGGGAUCGGACGAUGUUAUUCUAUGACUCGUUCGGCACCUUACGAGAAAUCAAAGUGCUUGGGCUCCAGGGGGAAUAU
This 1065-nucleotide ribosomal RNA is filed under the name Metarhizium brasiliense. Its description in RNAcentral is "SSU rRNA". It matches the Rfam family "Eukaryotic small subunit ribosomal RNA", at positions 50 to 1126 of the family's 1831-position model. The record is from RNAcentral. Lineage: Eukaryota; Fungi; Ascomycota; Sordariomycetes; Hypocreales; Clavicipitaceae.